AAGGAAUGUAUUUCAACAAAAAGAAC
Molecule: transfer RNA, 26 nt
Filed under: Xantusia vigilis
Lineage: Eukaryota; Metazoa; Chordata; Lepidosauria; Squamata; Xantusiidae
Description: partial tRNA-Ser
Source: RNAcentral